GAGUUUGAUCCUGGCUCAGAGCGAACGCUGGCGGCAUGCUUAACACAUGCAAGUCGCACGGUCAGCAAUGGCAGUGGCGGACGGGUGAGUAACACGUAGGAAUCUAUCUCUGGGUGGGGGACAACAGUGGGAAACUACUGCUAAUACCGCAUGAUACCUGAGGGUCAAAGGCGUAAGUCGCCUGGAGAGGAGCCUGCGUCUGAUUAGCUUGUGGUGGGGUAAAGGCCUACCAAGGCUACGAUCAGUAGCUGGUCUGAGAGGAUGAUCAGCCACAUUGGGACUGAGACACGGCCCAAACUCCUACGGGAGGCAGCAGUGGGGAAUAUUGGACAAUGGGCGAAAGCCUGAUCCAGCAAUGCCGCGUGUGUGAAGAAGGUCUUCGGAUUGUAAAGCACUUUUGGCAGGGACGAUGAUGACGGUACCUGCAGAAUAAAGCCCCGGCUAACUUCGUGCCAGCCGCCGCAGUAAG
RNAcentral lists this ribosomal RNA (469 nucleotides) under bacterium enrichment culture clone ALO1_GLFRUDD03F15K2. Its description in RNAcentral is "bacterial SSU rRNA". It matches the Rfam family "Bacterial small subunit ribosomal RNA", at positions 9 to 524 of the family's 1533-position model. The record is from RNAcentral.